GGGGGUGUAGCUCAGUGGUAGAGCGCGUGCUUUGCAUGCACGAGGCCCUGGGUUCGAUCCCCAGCACCUCCA
Molecule: transfer RNA, 72 nt
Filed under: Mesocricetus auratus (golden hamster)
Lineage: Eukaryota; Metazoa; Chordata; Mammalia; Rodentia; Cricetidae
Rfam family: tRNA
About the family: Transfer RNA (tRNA) molecules are approximately 80 nucleotides in length. Their secondary structure includes four short double-helical elements and three loops (D, anti-codon, and T loops). Further hydrogen bonds mediate the characteristic L-shaped molecular structure. tRNAs have two regions of fundamental functional importance: the anti-codon, which is responsible for specific mRNA codon recognition, and the 3' end, to which the tRNAs corresponding amino acid is attached (by aminoacyl-tRNA synthetases). tRNAs cope with the degeneracy of the genetic code in two manners: having more than one tRNA (with a specific anti-codon) for a particular amino acid; and 'wobble' base-pairing, i.e. permitting non-standard base-pairing at the 3rd anti-codon position.
Source: Rfam by way of RNAcentral